ACCUGUAGACAAAUUUGUCUUCUGAGAAGUUUGAAUUUGAAGAACAAGGGAGAAUUUCAAGAUGAACAGAUUUAACUUGCGUAAGAAACAAAGAAUUAGUUACUACGAACCGGACGAGCCGCCCUUCGACGACUAUGUUUUUUGUCCUUCGUGUCGAGAUUAUGUGUACGAAU
Molecule: long non-coding RNA, 173 nt
Organism: Leptidea sinapis
Lineage: Eukaryota; Metazoa; Arthropoda; Insecta; Lepidoptera; Pieridae
Exons: 4
Source: RefSeq, a predicted model, not a curated record